RNAcentral lists this ribosomal RNA (468 nucleotides) under uncultured bacterium. Its description in RNAcentral is "partial 16S ribosomal RNA". It matches the Rfam family "Bacterial small subunit ribosomal RNA", at positions 28 to 507 of the family's 1533-position model. The record is from RNAcentral.
GACGAACGCUGGCGGCGUGCUUAACACAUGCAAGUCGAACGGAAAGGCCCUGCUUUUGUGGGGUGCUCGAGUGGCGAACGGGUGAGUAACACGUGAGUAACCUGCCCUUGACUUUGGGAUAACUUCAGGAAACUGGGGCUAAUACCGGAUAGGCGCUCCUGCUGCAUGGUGGGGGUUGGAAAGUUUCGGCGGUUGGGGAUGGACUCGCGGCUUAUCAGCUUGUUGGUGGGGUAGUGGCUUACCAAGGCUUUGACGGGUAGCCGGCCUGAGAGGGUGACCGGCCACAUUGGGACUGAGAUACGGCCCAGACUCCUACGGGAGGCAGCAGUGGGGAAUAUUGCACAAUGGGCGGAAGCCUGAUGCAGCAACGCCGCGUGCGGGAUGACGGCCUUCGGGUUGUAAACCGCUUUCGCCUGUGACGAAGCGUGAGUGACGGUAAUGGGCAAAGAAGCACCGGCUAACUACGUG